This 406-nucleotide ribosomal RNA is filed under the name uncultured bacterium. RNAcentral's name for it is "partial 16S ribosomal RNA". It matches the Rfam family "Bacterial small subunit ribosomal RNA", at positions 30 to 526 of the family's 1533-position model. The record is from RNAcentral.
AUUGAACGCUGGCGGCAGGCCUAACACAUGCAAGUCGAGCGAGCGGCGGACGGGUGAGUAUUGCCUAGGAAUCUGCCCGGUCGUGGGGGAUAACGUCCGCAAACGGGCGCUAAUACCGCAUACCAUCAGAUGUGCUCAGCUGGGUUUAGCUUGUUGGGUGGGUAACGGCUCACCAAGGCGACGAUCCCUAGCUGGUCUGAGAGGAUGACCAGCCACACUGGAACUGAGACACGGUCCAGACUCCUACGGGAGGCAGAAGUGGGGAAUAUUGCACAAUGGGCGCAAGCCUGAUGCAGCCAUGCCGCGUGUAUGAAGAAGGCCUUCGGGUUGUAAAGUACUUUCAGCGGGGAGGCGUUACCCGCAGAAGAAGCACCGGCUAACUCCGUGCCAGCAGCCGCGGUAAUUC